This 540-nucleotide transfer RNA is filed under the name uncultured cyanobacterium. RNAcentral's name for it is "partial 16S-23S ribosomal RNA intergenic spacer". The stretch from base 210 to 282 matches the Rfam family "tRNA". Lineage: Bacteria; Bacillati; Cyanobacteriota. The record is from RNAcentral.
CAGGGAGACAACAAAAUGUUUAAUAUUAAUUUUGUCACCUUAGGUCGAUCGGUAUCUCACAUUCUUAAUUUAUUAAGGAUUUUAUUUCCUAAGUUUUUUCUAGGUCACACCCAUUUUUUUCCUGGGCCAUUAGCUCAGGUGGUUAGAGCGCACCCCUGAUAAGGGUGAGGUCCCUGGUUCAAGUCCAGGAUGGCCCAUAUCUCUAUGUUGGGGGUAUAGCUCAGUUGGUAGAGCGCCUGCUUUGCAAGCAGGAUGUCAGCGGUUCGAGUCCGCUUACCUCCACUGAUUACCACCUCUUCCAUAAUUUUUACGAGGAAAAUGUUAUGAGGUGUGAUCAAAUUCUGAACGAUUCUAGCUUCCUAAUAAAACCAAUUAAGAUGCUGGACUCAUUGAAUUAAUUUCAUUGUUUUCAGAGAACCUUGACAACUGCAUAGAUUAUUUUUAAAGACAAUAAGCAUCUUUAAUGAUGCAGAUUUAUUAUUUGUGCGAAUGCAUUAAUAACAAUUCUAUUAAGCUGAUGCUUCAAUUUUUGAAGUUAUU